GACGAACGCUGGCGGCGUGCUUAACACAUGCAAGUCGAACGAUGAAGAAGAGAAACGCGAACUUCGGUUCAAAUUUCACUUCGGAUUAGUGGCAGACGGGUGAGUAACGCGUGAGCAACCUACCUCUUACAAAGGGAUAGCCUCGGGAAACCGUGAUUAAUACCAUAUGACACAUUCAUAAGGCAUCUUAAGAAUGUUAAAGCUACGGCGGUAAGAGAUGGGCUCGCGUCCCAUUAGCUAGUUGGUGAGGUAACGGCCCACCAAGGCGACGAUGGGUAACCGGCCUGAGAGGGGGAACGGUCACAUUGGAACUGAGACACGGUCCAAACUCCUACGGGAGGCAGCAGUGGGGAAUAUUGCACAAUGGAGGGAACUCUGAUGCAGCGACGCCGCGUGAGCGAUGAAGGAAUUCGUUUCGUAAAGCUCUGUUCUAUGGGAAGAAAAGGACUGUACCAUAGGAGAAAGCCCCGGCUAAAUACGUG
Molecule: ribosomal RNA, 482 nt
Filed under: uncultured bacterium
Lineage: Bacteria
Description: partial 16S ribosomal RNA
Rfam family: Bacterial small subunit ribosomal RNA
Source: RNAcentral